This 230-nucleotide ribosomal RNA is filed under the name uncultured bacterium. RNAcentral describes it as "partial 16S ribosomal RNA". It matches the Rfam family "Bacterial small subunit ribosomal RNA", at positions 569 to 791 of the family's 1533-position model. The record is from RNAcentral.
GCGCAGGCGGUUAUAUAAGACAGAUGUGAAACGUCCCCCGGGCUCCAACCGUCGGGAACUGCUAUUUGUGACUUUAUAGCUGGAGUGCGGCAGAGGGGGAUGGAAUUCCGCGUGUAGCAGUGAAAUGCGUAGAUAUGCGGAGGAACACCGAUGGCGAAGGCAAUCCCCUGGGCCUGCACUGACGCUCAUGCACGAAAGCGUGGGGAGCAAACAGGAUUAGAUACCCUAGU